GGACCCGCACAAUCGGUGGAGCGUGUGGUUCAAUUCGAGACAAAGCGAAAAACCUUACCAAGUUUUGACAUGCUACCGUUUUAACCCGCUAGAAAUAGUGGGCUAUCCGCAAGGAUGGUAGCACAGCUGCUGCAUGGCUGUCGUCAGCUCGUGCCGUGGGGUGUUCCAUUAAGUUGGAGAACGAGCGCAACCCGUAUCCGAUGUUACAAGUGUCAUCGGAGACUGCCCUGGUCUUUUCCAGGGAGGAAGGAACGGACGACGUCAAGUCAGCACGGCGCUUAUAACUUGGGUUACACACACCCUACAAUGGCGAAUAACAAUGGGACGCAAGCCGGUAACGGCAAGCAAAUCCCCAGUAAAUUUCGCCUCAGUUCAGAUUGAGGUCUGCAACCCGACCUCAUGAAGUCGGAAUCGAUAGUAAUCGCGAAUCAGAAGGUCGCGGUGAAUACGUUCUCGGGUCUU
This 462-nucleotide ribosomal RNA is filed under the name uncultured bacterium. Its description in RNAcentral is "bacterial SSU rRNA". It matches the Rfam family "Bacterial small subunit ribosomal RNA", at positions 917 to 1382 of the family's 1533-position model. The record is from RNAcentral.